GUAAAGAUGCAGAAUUUACUGUGGUUUUCCGUAUUUUUUCUUACUUUGGGACUGUAUCAAUCCACAGCCAUUGAAAGUGCUUCGUACCGGCAGUAUUUCCAACGAGUUCUGAAUGAUCUUCAAAAUGCGGGCCAGGAUCCUCCAGCCGGUGGUAUUGAGGAAGUUCCAUUGAUGAUGACUGCAAGGCGAGGAGGAAUGUACAAUAUAAAUGUCAGACGACAACGGCCAUGUAAACGCAGAUGGUGGAGGCGAUGUUAAGCAGUAACUCACACCGCUGAUAUGUACAUCAACAGACUGUAAAUAAACAAUGUGUCCACUCCGAUAUUACUCCAUGAUUCUAUUGUUUUCUAUCCCCAUAGUAUAAAGAAACUAGACAUUUAGUUCUUACACAUGUAUUCAUAUUUGUGACACAACUUAAUAUUUCUUCAUGUUCACUUGAGAGGUCAUUGGCGCGUCACAGUUCCUAUAUUGAGAAAUAUGAUAAAAUGAAACAACAAAAAUGUAUUGCUGACUAAACAUUGGUGAAUGUGAAUAUUCCAGUAUGGAAAACUAAGAUUACUGAUUUAAUCUGCAUAUCAUGGUCAAUGUCCAAUCGUGGAUUUGUACCAGUGUGUGAGGUGGCUCUCCUUGAUCUUGUUCAGGAAGCAUUGAUAAUGAUGACAAAUACGUGUGGAAGCAUUAAAAUACGCGUGGAAGCAUUAAAAUACGCGUGGAAGCAUUAAAAUACGUGUGGAAGCAUUAAAAUAUGUGUGGAAGCAUUAAUACUCACGUGUGUAAUAUUGGACAGAACUCAGUCUGAAAUAAACCAUAUAUUAAGCACUGAAAA
Long non-coding RNA from Ostrea edulis (European flat oyster), 826 nucleotides. RefSeq lists it as uncharacterized. The record is from RefSeq and is a predicted model, not a curated record. The transcript has 2 exons. Lineage: Eukaryota; Metazoa; Mollusca; Bivalvia; Ostreida; Ostreidae.